UGGGAGCUCUCCCAUAUGGUCGACCUGCAGGCGGCCGCGAAUUCACUAGUGAUUCGUAUUACCGCGGCUGCUGGCACAGAGUUAGCCGGUGCUUAUUCUGUCGGUAACGUCAAAACAGCAAAGUAUUAAUUUACUGCCCUUCCUCCCAACUUAAAGUGCUUUACAAUCCGAAGACCUUCUUCACACACGCGGCAUGGCUGGAUCAGGCUUUCGCCCAUUGUCCAAUAUUCCCCACUGCUGCCUCCCGUAGGAGUCUGGACCGUGUCUCAGUUCCAGUGUGACUGAUCAUCCUCUCAGACCAGUUACGGAUCGUCGCCUUGGUGAGCCAUUACCCCACCAACUAGCUAAUCCGACCUAGGCUCAUCUGAUAGCGCAAGGCCCGAAGGUCCCCUGCUUUCUCCCGUAGGACGUAUGCGGUAUUAGCGUCCGUUUCCGAACGUUAUCCCCCACUACCAGGCAGAUUCCUAGGCAUUACUCACCCGUCCGCCGCUCUCAAGAGAAGCAAGCUUCUCUCUACCGCUCGACUUGCAUGUGUUAGGCCUGCCGCCAGCGUUCAAUCUGAGCCAUGAUCAAACUCUAAUCGAAUUCCCGCGGCCG
This 597-nucleotide ribosomal RNA is filed under the name uncultured Gammaproteobacteria bacterium. RNAcentral describes it as "partial 16S ribosomal RNA". The record is from RNAcentral. Lineage: Bacteria; Pseudomonadati; Pseudomonadota; Gammaproteobacteria.